Molecule: long non-coding RNA, 1018 nt
Filed under: Homo sapiens (human)
Lineage: Eukaryota; Metazoa; Chordata; Mammalia; Primates; Hominidae
Description: HSALNT0339547
Source: RNAcentral
CACGGCAGGUAGAGUAUACUGUGGAUACACUAGACAAAGGGAUGAUUUAUAUCCUGGGCAGAAUGGAGUAGGACAGUGAAAGAUUUCGCCAACAUAUUCAGAAUAGCAUGCAAUUUAAAACUUAUUUUGAAGUUGGAAGAAGUGGCAAAAUGUGAAAAGCAAGAAGCAAGUAUUACCAGAGACACCUAUGAAAAAGAAAUCUUUCUGAAGAACAUUUUUAAAGUGCCAUAAUCUGUUCGGUGAAUCCAAAGGCUGAAAGAGACUGAGUAACAGCUAUUAAGUAAGGUGAAAAUGUUAUUUUACAUGGAAACCUAUUUUGUUCCAUAAAACUAAAUAAACCAUAACCCAGAAGUGCAAUGAGACACACACAGCAUGACCACAUUAUUUCUGAAAGCUGAAGAGUUGCCAGUCUGUUGAUCUCAAACUUCAUGAACCACACAGUUCAGUUCAAAUUGUUUCCCUGAAAUUGCUUUGAGCCUCUGCCAAACAGCCACUGAAGGACUCCGAAAAAUACAAGAACUGAAAGGGGCACAUGGCAGAUACAAUCAUAAACUUUCAUUUCGGAGAGCAGUAAAAAAGGAGAAGAAGAACACACUGGUACUCCAACAAGUCAUAGUUUCUGCCAGAUGUUGCAAAAUUUCCCAUAGUCCUUAUGGUGCCUGACUGUCGUUAUCAACUUCUGACUCAUUCUAACACACUGCUUUACCUUGGCUGUAAGCUGGGAACCCUGCUAUCAGAAAUUCAUAUCAAAUGUCCACAGAAACCCAAUCAGCAACACUACUUUCAAAGUGUCUUUUGACAAGUAAUAUGUGCAUUUUACAAAUCCAAAGGCAAUAUUUGAAGUAGCUCUUCAAAACAGCUGCAUUACUCAAAGCUAUCUCUGUAUCAUCGCCUUGUUUCCUGGAAGAAAAUGUGGAAAUGUGUACUGAAAAUGUGUAAAUGAUUAAAGCAUCAGUAUAAAGAAAAAACAUUCUGAAGAUGAAUAAAAAUUAUUUUGAGGGCUUGUUGAAAAACCAAA